RNAcentral lists this ribosomal RNA (321 nucleotides) under Triticum aestivum (bread wheat). Its description in RNAcentral is "partial small subunit ribosomal RNA". The record is from RNAcentral. Lineage: Eukaryota; Viridiplantae; Streptophyta; Magnoliopsida; Poales; Poaceae.
AUGGUGGGGCGUGCCCGGCUGCACGCUGGAGGCCGUCCUCGAGUACAUCGAGGGUGGCAGCACGCCGAGGCUGGAGUACCCCGCUCCCCCACCUUCUCCCGCCGGCGUGGGAGCUCGUGGACGCCGAGACGCAUGGACCCGGCGUCCUCCUCCUCGUCCGGCUCUCCCUCCCUCCUCCCUGUCAAGCCGGAGCCGCAAGACGCGCUGAUCAGCCGGCGCACCCGCAGCUGCGGCGUCCGCAUUACCGAGUCCUCCCCCACCUCUGCCUGGCUCGUCAGGCCGAAGGUGGAGUCCGACCUCCCGCGGAGUACGAGGCCAUAG